AAAAGUUCAAAAAUAGAGGAGUGUCGGGACAAGAAUAGAGUAAAAAAAAGAAAAAAAAAGGUCAAAAAAUAGAGUCAAAAAAAGCCCCAAAGAGAAAAAAAAUCAAAAUCAAACAAAAGAACAAGUUGCCGGAACUAUGUUUGACCUCAUUCUUCUUUUUUGGGGGUGAGAUAUGUAGGCAACCUAAUUUGAGUCUGGCCUAAUUAAAUAAAAAAAUUAGAAUUAUUCAGUCAAAAUAAACUGAGACAUAGUUUGAUCUUUGUUGUUUGAGUCGAUUCCAAAAGUUGUAAUUCCCACCCCACUCCAAGUGUUGUUUGAGCCUCAUGUUAUCAUUUCUUUCCAACC
RNAcentral lists this long non-coding RNA (345 nucleotides) under Capsicum annuum. Its description in RNAcentral is "long non-coding RNA (CANN_LNC009543)". The record is from RNAcentral. Lineage: Eukaryota; Viridiplantae; Streptophyta; Magnoliopsida; Solanales; Solanaceae.